AAUAAACAGAUAUUAAAGUAACGUAAAUCAAUCUCAGACCGUCUGAUAGACACAGAGCCCUGUUUGAGACUCUGGUCUCUGAAUGAGACAAAGUUUAGGGAAGUGGCUGUACGCUGCUCUACAUCGGAGGUCGGAAACCGAAACUACGAAAUCUGCCGCAGCAUGUCGACAGCAG
Long non-coding RNA from Sander lucioperca (pikeperch), 175 nucleotides. RefSeq lists it as uncharacterized. The record is from RefSeq and is a predicted model, not a curated record. NCBI's taxonomy places the organism in Eukaryota, Metazoa, Chordata, Actinopteri, Perciformes, Percidae. The transcript has 3 exons.